This 468-nucleotide ribosomal RNA is filed under the name uncultured bacterium. RNAcentral's name for it is "partial 16S ribosomal RNA". It matches the Rfam family "Bacterial small subunit ribosomal RNA", at positions 28 to 507 of the family's 1533-position model. The record is from RNAcentral.
GACGAACGCUGGCGGCGUGCUUAACACAUGCAAGUCGAACGGAAAGGCCCUGCUUUUGGGGGGUGCUCGAGUAGCGAACGGGUGAGUAACACGUGAGUAACCUGCCCUUGACUUUGGGAUAACUUCAGGAAACUGGGGCUAAUACCGGAUAGGAGCUCCUGCUGCAUGGUGGGGGUUGGAAAGUUUCGGCGGUUGGGGAUGGACUCGCGGCUUAUCAGCUUGUUGGUGGGGUAGUGGCUUACCAAGGCUUUGACGGGUAGCCGGCCUGAGAGGGUGACCGGCCACAUUGGGACUGAGAUACGGCCCGGACUCCUACGGGAGGCAGCAGUGGGGAAUAUUGCACAAUGGGCGGAAGCCUGAUGCAGCAACGCCGCGUGCGGGAUGACGGCCUUCGGGUUGUAAACCGCUUUCGCCCGUGACGAAGCGUGAGUGACGGUAAUGGGUAAAGAAGCACCGGCUAACUACGUG